GGCUCUCUGAGCAGGUCUCCGCUGGCCACACACACGAUGAGGACUCUAUGCUUUUGUCUAAUGUGUGACGUGGAGCCACCGUUAUGGGGGAAGAGGCACGAAGAGGCCAGAGGAAGCCAUGAGACAUCAGUGAACCAGAAGCAUGGGAACUCAAGCAAGCCACUGUGUGAGCAUCAUGGCGUGAGCAUCCGAGGCUUCUGAGGAGUCUCUGAGACCGGCUUUACCGUGUGAACAACUGUCAUUGUCAAAGUGGAAUGGAAAGCGUUCAGCAGAGUCUGUACGGUCGGAUCCUCCCAGGGCUCCAGACUGGGCAGCUGGAUACCGGUCACCACAGACACAACUCCUCCCUUGGCCCUAACCUGCUAACCCUGCCGCACACCACACCAAGUGAGCCCAGUCGCCGAUUUCCAAUCAUGAAUCACACUCCCCCUCUUGAGCCACAGAGCCUCCAGUUGAGGUUCUGUGGCUAUUACCACACAGUCUGGGGUUUCUCUCCCCAGGAUGUUAAGCAACAAAAUCCAAGUUAUCUUUGAAGAAAGAAACCUGAGAUGGUA
Peromyscus leucopus (white-footed mouse) is the source of this 554-nucleotide long non-coding RNA. RefSeq lists it as uncharacterized. Lineage: Eukaryota; Metazoa; Chordata; Mammalia; Rodentia; Cricetidae. The transcript is spliced from 2 exons. The record is from RefSeq and is a predicted model, not a curated record.